This 500-nucleotide ribosomal RNA is filed under the name uncultured bacterium. Its description in RNAcentral is "partial 16S ribosomal RNA". It matches the Rfam family "Bacterial small subunit ribosomal RNA", at positions 30 to 523 of the family's 1533-position model. The record is from RNAcentral.
AUUGAACGCUGGCGGCAUGCCUUACACAUGCAAGUCGAACGGCAGCACGGGAGCAAUCCUGGUGGCGAGUGGCGAACGGGUGAGUAAAGUAUCGGAACGUGCCCAGUCGUGGGGGAUAACGUAGCGAAAGUUACGCUAAUACCGCAUACGAUCUAUGGAUGAAAGCGGGGGAUCGCAAGACCUCGCGCGAUUGGAGCGGCCGAUAUCAGAUUAGGUAGUUAGUGGGGUAAAGGCUCACCAAGCCGACGAUCUGUAGCUGGUCUGAGAGGACGACCCGCCACACUGGGACUGAGACACGGCCCAGACUCCUACGGGAGGCAGCAGUGGGGAAUUUUGGACAAUGGGCGCAAGCCUGAUCCAGCCAUGCCGCGUGCAGGAUGAAGGCCUUCGGGUUGUAAACUGCUUUUGUACGGAACGAAAAGGUUUGGCCUAAUAAGCUGAGCUCAUGACGGUACCGUAAGAAUAAGCACCGGCUAACUACGUGCCAGCCGCCGCCGUAA